RNAcentral lists this small RNA (27 nucleotides) under Bombyx mori (domestic silkworm). RNAcentral's name for it is "ovarian small RNA-8824". Lineage: Eukaryota; Metazoa; Arthropoda; Insecta; Lepidoptera; Bombycidae. The record is from RNAcentral.
UGGUACUGAUUAUUGGUAGGCCUGAUG